Molecule: long non-coding RNA, 481 nt
Organism: Fulmarus glacialis (Northern fulmar)
Lineage: Eukaryota; Metazoa; Chordata; Aves; Procellariiformes; Procellariidae
Exons: 3
Source: RefSeq, a predicted model, not a curated record
CAGUGACUUGUGUGCUGGACUGAUUGGGGGUCUUGGAGUAACACCAAGUGGAAAUAUUGGUGCUAAUGGAGUUGCGAUUUUUGAAUCGGUUCAUGGAACAGCACCAGACAUUGCAGGAAAAGACUUGGCAAACCCAACUGCCCUUCUUCUGAGUGCUGUAAUGAUGUUGCGUCACAUGGGACUACACAAACAUGCCACAAAAAUUGAGACGGCUUGCUUUGAUACAAUUAAAGAUGGAAAGGUCUUGACAAAAGACUUGGGAGGUAGCGCCAAGUGUUCGGAAUUCACAGAGGAGAUCUGCCGCAGAGUACGGGACACAGACUAAACUUUUCUCAUAGUACUUGUAAUAACUCUGAAAGGACACAUCAUGCAAAGUACACUAUAUGUAACCUGAUAUCCAUAUAGUUUGCUUGUUUCUUAAGAGAACAAACUUUUUAGUUAGGGCCUCUCCGUUAAUAAAUUUAGUCCAAAUGGCUACAAA